GACGAACCACACGAACGUUAUUCGGAAUUACUGGGCUUAAAGGGUGCGUAGGCUGUGCGGAAAGUUAGGUGUGAAAUCCCCCGGCUCAACCGGGGAAUUGCGCUUAAAACUACCGUGCCCGAGGAAGACAGAGGUGAGCGGAACUUCGGGUGGAGCGGUGAAAUGCGUUGAUAUCCGAAGGAACACCGGUGGCGAAAGCGGCUCACUGGGUCUUUUCUGACGCUGAGGCACGAAAGCCAGGGUAGCGAACGGG
Molecule: ribosomal RNA, 253 nt
Filed under: uncultured bacterium
Lineage: Bacteria
Description: partial 16S ribosomal RNA
Rfam family: Bacterial small subunit ribosomal RNA
Source: RNAcentral